Molecule: small RNA, 114 nt
Filed under: Caenorhabditis briggsae
Lineage: Eukaryota; Metazoa; Nematoda; Chromadorea; Rhabditida; Rhabditidae
Description: sRNA CBG29652
Rfam family: Potassium channel RNA editing signal
About the family: This family represents a group of sequences related to the human potassium channel Kv1.1 hairpin element which directs the efficient modification of an adenosine to inosine by an adenosine deaminase acting on RNA (ADAR). The ADAR modification causes an isoleucine/valine recoding event which lies in the ion-conducting pore of the potassium channel.
Source: RNAcentral
UGUAGGUAUGGAGAUCUCGUACCAUUGAGUCCGUUUGGUAAAGUGGUCGGCAGUAUGUGUGCCUUGAUUGGUGUCCUUACAUUGGCUCUUCCAGUACCUAUUAUAGUAAGUUUU